CGAAAGGCGUAGUCGAUGGGAAACAGGUUAAUAUUCCUGUACUUGGUGUUACUGCGAAGGGGGGACGGAGAAGGCUAUGUUGGCCGGGCGACGGUUGUCCCGGUUUAAGCGUGUAGGCUGGUUUUCCAGGCAAAUCCGGAAAAUCAAGGCUGAGGCGUGAUGACGAGGCACUACGGUGCUGAAGCAACAAAUGCCCUGCUUCCAGGAAAAGCCUCUAAGCAUCAGGUAACAUCAAAUCGUACCCCAAACCGACACAGGUGGUCAGGUAGAGAAUACCAAGGCGCUUGAGAGAACUCGGGUGAAGGAACUAGGCAAAAUGGUGCCGUAACUU
This 331-nucleotide ribosomal RNA is filed under the name Escherichia coli. Its description in RNAcentral is "partial 23S ribosomal RNA". It matches the Rfam family "Bacterial large subunit ribosomal RNA", at positions 1403 to 1736 of the family's 2925-position model. Lineage: Bacteria; Pseudomonadati; Pseudomonadota; Gammaproteobacteria; Enterobacterales; Enterobacteriaceae. The record is from RNAcentral.